RNAcentral lists this long non-coding RNA (222 nucleotides) under Lathyrus oleraceus (garden pea). RNAcentral describes it as "Pisum sativum (pea) long non-coding RNA (PSAT_LNC019026)". Lineage: Eukaryota; Viridiplantae; Streptophyta; Magnoliopsida; Fabales; Fabaceae. The record is from RNAcentral.
UUGUUUCUUGCAUGAAAGAUGAAGACCUUAUCAACCGUUAGAUUCGAAUUACACUAAAGUCUAUGAACGAAGGUGAAUAUGAUGAGCGUUGGGUCAUACGUCCCAUACCUAAAGAUACUCAGAAUGGGGGUAGGAAUACUCCAGUCCCACUCAUUCUUCAUUACUUAAGGCUCGUAUCGUACAACUUGAUUCAUGAUUGAUAAGUUGUUGACGUAGUUCUUG